RNAcentral lists this long non-coding RNA (1071 nucleotides) under Nicotiana benthamiana. RNAcentral's name for it is "long non-coding RNA (NBEN_LNC008124)". The record is from RNAcentral. Lineage: Eukaryota; Viridiplantae; Streptophyta; Magnoliopsida; Solanales; Solanaceae.
AUACCACAUUUUUCAAUAUCUCAGCAUCAUCCGUUGUCAGCAAAUGGCGUGGUAUGAUUUCCUCUGCAAUUUACUAAAAUGUUCUUCCUACUUAUCAGCUUGAAGGUUUUAAUUCAUUUGGCAUAGCUAUAAUGAUUACAGAGUUGUCAGCAAAUGGCGUGGUAUGAUUUCGUCUGCAAUUUACUAAAAUGUUCUUCCUACUUAUCAGCUUGAAGGUUUUAAUUCAUUUGGCAUAGCUAUAAUGAUUACAGUUAGAAGUGGAUAUCGAGUCAAAAAUUUUCUAGAAAAGGAAACUGAAUCCAAACUUGUAUGAUAUUAAAAGAUAAAUUUCAGACGACUGAUAGCACCAUCCUAUUAAUGGAUAGUCACUGAUUUAGACAACCAAAAGUAGAAACCAUCCAAUUUGAAGUGAAGUCACACAUUGUACCUUGGUUUGUUCACCGAAGAAAAAGAAAGGGCAGCGUGGUGCACAAAGCACCCCGCAGGAUCCGGGGAAGGGCGGCACCCCUAGGGGUGUGAUGUAGACAGCCUACCAUAAUGCAAGCUUUAGUGGCUGCUUUCAGGGCUCGAACCCGUGACCUAUAGGGUCCGGGUUUGUUAGCUGAAGGUUUAUGCUAUAUCACUCUCUAAUAUUAGCUGUUGUUUCAGCUUAAUCUAUUUCUUGCCCUAAAAGUUCGCCUGUAUUUUUUCAAGCAAUCUGAUGGAACAAUGUAAUAUUGUAAUAUCUCAUGAGUUGAGAAAUUUCUAUGCUAAGGUAAGUCAACCUCGUUCACAGGAGCUAAGGAUAUAUCAUAUAUAUCAACUGUGUGUAGUAAAUACUAAAUGAAUGUUCUGAAUUGUUAUGCAAUUUUUACUGCGGUAUGUAGUUCUAUUUGUCUUACUGAGUUCCAGACAGCUCUUUUGUGUGUUAUCAACAUUGAGGGAAGCUAGCACCUAAAGUGGCUGUUAUUAAGCAAGGACUUAUGGGGUUCAGCUUUUCUGAACAUAUCAGCUGUUAUGAUUUCUGUCUUUGAUUGUCUACCUCUGCCUUUUUUAUUUCAAUGUGAAAGAAAAUUAUUGCAUUUAAAUUAU